RNAcentral lists this ribosomal RNA (492 nucleotides) under uncultured bacterium. RNAcentral describes it as "partial 16S ribosomal RNA". It matches the Rfam family "Bacterial small subunit ribosomal RNA", at positions 30 to 507 of the family's 1533-position model. The record is from RNAcentral.
AUUGAACGCUAGCGGGAUGCUUUACACAUGCAAGUCGAACGGCAGCACGAAAAGAGCUUGCUCUUUUUGGUGGCGAGUGGCGAACGGGUGAGUAAUGUAUCGGAACGUACCCAGUAGCGGGGGAUAACUACGCGCAAGCGUGGCUAAUACCGCAUACGCCCUACGGGGGAAAGGGGGGGAUCGCAAGACCUCUCCCUAUUGGAGCGGCCGAUAUCGGAUUAGCUAGUUGGUGGGGUAAAGGCUCACCAAGGCAACGAUCCGUAGCUGGUUUGAGAGGACGACCAGCCACACUGGGACUGAGACACGGCCCAGACUCCUACGGGAGGCAGCAGUGGGGAAUGUUGGACAAUGGGGGAAACCCUGAUCCAGCCAUCCCGCGUGUGCGAUGAAGGCCUUCGGGUUGUAAAGCACUUUUGGCAGGGAAGAAACGGCGCUGACUAAUACAUGGCGCAACUGACGGUACCUGCAGAAUAAGCACCGGCUAACUACGUG